RNAcentral lists this long non-coding RNA (2549 nucleotides) under Cucumis sativus (cucumber). RNAcentral's name for it is "long non-coding RNA (CSAT_LNC002864)". Lineage: Eukaryota; Viridiplantae; Streptophyta; Magnoliopsida; Cucurbitales; Cucurbitaceae. The record is from RNAcentral.
AUUAAUUACGUAAAUAUCUAGAUUUUAAGUUUAGUAUAAAUAUCUAUGUUUAUCCAAUAACGUCAAUUCAACGUACCAAUCGAUACUCUAGAUAUCAUUUUCUCUUCCUUUCUCUCAUUAGCUCUAUUAAAGCAAUUAACCAGAAAAACAAUAUAUUUUCGUUGUGGAGCUUUGAGCUAAACCUUUCUAAACAUAGGAUCGUUUCAGCUACAUAAUGAUUUUGUUGAGUUGUUAAAUCCUACCAGCCAAAAAAAGGUUUGUUACAUCAAUGCGUUUCAUAUAAAGAAAUCCAAUACACAUGGCAAAGGACUUGAAUUUCUUUUAAAGAUGCGAGAUAUUUAUGUCUCAGCUUAAUUGUAAAUCAUUCCAUCAAACAUGGGUUAAUAUCACAAUUCAAAACUCUAACCUAUCAGUCAAAUGAGUUAACUUACAAAUAAACUAUUUGCGCUACCCAAAUCUCUAACUUGUAGGUUACUUCCUCUCUCUUUCACACCAUCAAACACUUUUUGUUCGACCAAUCAAAUUGUGUUAGAUUUGCGCCAAAAUUUUAUUAAACAAAACUAAAUGAAAACAUUCUAUAUAAGCUAACUAGAACUAAAUCCAAUUCAAAAUGAUGUCAACUUGGAUUUUGGCAAAUUGAAUAUAUUCUAUAUAUAGGUAUAUAUAAAUAUAGAAUAGGGGGAAAUUAAGAGUAUAGGUAUAUGUUCUAUAUUAUAAAGAGAGUUGGUGAGGGAAAGAAACUCAACCACCAAUGUAAAAAGAUGUAUGUGUCUUUUUUGUGAUUUUAGAAUAAGGGAUAAGGAGAAAAAUAUUAUGUCAAAAUAAUAAGAAUAAUAAGAAGAAGAAGAAAGGGAUAGAGAUAGGGAUAGCAAGGAGGAAAUAUCUAUUUCUCUUUCUGUCUUUUCUUUUUCUUCUUGUCUCAUCUUUAUCUUCACAAUACUCUCAUUUGUCAACAUUUGAUUUCCCUUAUCAAGCUACUCCAUUUUUUGUUCAUGCCAAAUAGGUGAUUUUUCAAAAAAGAAGAGAACAAAUUGACAUAUAUAUUUGGGUUAUGUAUUAAUUCCAAACAAACAACCUAGCCAACUUGUAAAAAUUUUAUUAGAGACCUUUUUAAAUAUAGCAUAAUAAACUAAAAAAAUAGCAAAAUUACAAAUUUUAUAAUAACAAAUAUUGAUAUGGAUGGAUAAAGGAUAAAAUUUACAAUAUUUUAAAAACUUUCCUUAAAUAAAAUAUAAUUUUGCAAUAACAGAUCACAAAACCAAAUUGGUUUGUCUUACCUCAUCUACUCUAGAUGCAUGUCCUCUUACCAUUAAUGAGAAUUAUUGUAGGUUUGUUGAGUCAAUAGGAAGUUAUUUUUCUAAAAGGUUUACUGGUACUUUAAUUUUAUAGGAUAUUUUAUCCUGCAUAGAAAAAGAUUAAAAACAAACAAACAAAUUUGUGAUGUGGUAUAUAUCAUCAAAGUUUACUUUCGAUUAAAUUUCAUUUAAAAAAAAAAAAAAAACUUUGAGAGAAACCUUAUCACUAUCAGGAUAUCAAUUGUUAAAGAAAUAACAUAAAAAUAAAAACAAUAAUUAAAUUGAAAGAAACUUUAAACUAUCAAAUUAAUUGCAUAGAUGUUAAUGUUUUACGUACACAUCCUCCAUGCAUUUUAAUUAGGAUGACUAUAAUUGGCUUUUCUUUCUAUCCCAUCAAUGUUUUAAAAAAGAAAAUGAAAGCCAAAAGGAAAUGGGUAACAAAUUCUAACGUUUAUUAAUUAAAAAAAUUCUAAAAAAAUUGUACUAUCAAAAAAAAAUUAAACCAAACAAAGUUAGAAGUUGACGUAGUCUCAAAUUAAAAAUAAAGACAUAGAUGUUUUCAUUGUAACCAUUUCAUUGUAACCGUUUUAAUAUUAAUAAAAAAAAUAUAUUUGAUAUGAGCUAAAAAAUAUAACCUAAAAGGCCAACCAGAGCCUAAAAUCUAAUUAGUUGACUGUACACAUACCAAUCUAAUCUAAUCUCCUAAAGUCAGAAAGUUCGGCUGAGAAUCUCUGUAACAGAAAAAUAGUUUAUCAUUUGAAGGGUUUAAAAACUUGAAGGAGAGAAUUAUGGGAGAGAUGUAUAUAAAAUGAUGUAUCCAAGAAGAAGAGAAAUAAAAAAGUAGCUAAAGAGAAAGGGAGGAACAUAGUUUAAAGAUGGAGAAAUUGAGCACACACCGAAUGGGGAGCGGCCUGGACGGUUCAUGAGAAAAUGGCAGUGGCUAGUUUGAAGGAGACAUGGCCGGUUGGAUGUCUAUUUCAAAUUAAUGUCAUGGGACGCACACUUAUCUAUAAUACUUCAUCCAAUCACUUUGCUUAUAGUAUAUUUAUGAUCCUUUAAAUAUAUUAUUUGGUAAGUUAAUUUGAUAUCAAAUAAAAUAAUUCACUUUUAACCAUCAACAAUUUUAGUUUUUACUUGGUCAACAUGGUAAAUUGAUGUUUUAUCAUAUAACUAAAAAAAUUCGGUGUCUUUUAAAUUUUGAUCGUUGCCAUCUUGACACAUCUGUCGUUCUUAUAUAAAUGUUUGAGAGUCUCG